This 859-nucleotide ribosomal RNA is filed under the name Melanogaster rivularis. RNAcentral's name for it is "eukaryotic LSU rRNA". The stretch from base 268 to 422 matches the Rfam family "5.8S ribosomal RNA". Lineage: Eukaryota; Fungi; Basidiomycota; Agaricomycetes; Boletales; Melanogastraceae. The record is from RNAcentral.
AAUCCGGAGGGGGAGACGACCGAGCGAAGUUUGGUAGAUCGUAGGGAUUGUCGCUGGCCUUUGGCAACGAAGGCAUGUGCACGUUCCGAGCUCUCCUUAGUCCUCGUUCGCUCUUCCUUUGGAGAUCUUUCUCAACACCUGUGCACCUUAUUGUAGGUUCCGCAAGGGAUCUAUGUCUUUAUCUACCCCCAAACGCAUGUCUUAGAAUGUCAUUAAUGCGUCGAUCGGCCUGGCUAACGCCUCGUCGGCGACGGUAAAGAAUCAUACAACUUUCAGCAACGGAUCUCUUGGCUCUCGCAUCGAUGAAGAACGCAGCGAAUUGCGAUACGUAAUGUGAAUUGCAGAUUUUCAGUGAAUCAUCGAAUCUUUGAAUGCACCUUGCGCUCCUUGGUAUUCCGAGGAGCAUGCCUGUUUGAGUGUCAUCGAAUUCUCAACCACCCUUUGAUUUAUUUCGAGGGAUGGCUUGGAUUUUGGGAGUUGCUGGCUGACCCCUCGGGGACGGUCGGCUCUCCUUAAAAGCAUUAGCGAAAGGCGACGAGCCUUGCAUGCACGGCCUUCGACGUGAUAAUGAUCGUCGUGGCUGGAGUGCGAGGCGUAGAUAGUCCUUUUGCUUCCAAAAACAUUGGUAUUUUGGGGACUUUGCUUAGGCGGACGAACCUUUUUGCCCUUUUGACGCUUGACCUCAAAUCAGGUAGGACUACCCGCUGAACUUAAGCAUAUCAAUAAGCGGAGGAAAAGAAACUAACAAGGAUUCCCCUAGUAACUGCGAGUGAAGCGGGAAGAGCUCAAAUUUUGAAUCUGGCGGUCUUUCGGCCGUCCGAGUUGUAAUCUAGAGAAGCGUCUUCCGCGCUGGACCGUG